This 192-nucleotide long non-coding RNA is filed under the name Coturnix japonica (Japanese quail). RNAcentral describes it as "lncRNA (ENSCJPG00005019255.1)". Lineage: Eukaryota; Metazoa; Chordata; Aves; Galliformes; Phasianidae. The record is from RNAcentral.
UCUGUACAAUUUCAGCAGGGGAUACAUAUUGUCACGUUAUUUUUGGAUGCUGGGCUUUGCAGUGAUUUUUCAUUCUCCUUUAAUCAGAGGCAUGGACACAUUCUUCCACAGAACAAUGUAACGACAACAGGAAUAAGAAACAAAAUAAUGACAAUGUAAAAUAAAUUUUAAUUGAGCCAGAAAUAUGGUUCA